This 425-nucleotide ribosomal RNA is filed under the name uncultured bacterium. Its description in RNAcentral is "bacterial SSU rRNA". It matches the Rfam family "Bacterial small subunit ribosomal RNA", at positions 356 to 773 of the family's 1533-position model. The record is from RNAcentral.
AGGGAAUCUUCCGCAAUGGGCGAAAGCCUGACGGAGCAACGCCGCGUGAGCGAAGAAGGCCUUCGGGUCGUAAAGCUCUGUUGUCAGGGAAGAACAAGUACCGGAGUAACUGCCGGUACCUUGACGGUACCUGACCAGAAAGCCCCGGCUAACUACGUGCCAGCAGCCGCGGUAAUACGUAGGGGGCGAGCGUUGUCCGGAAUCAUUGGGCGUAAAGCGCGCGCAGGCGGUCCCUUAAGUCUGAUGUGAAAUCUUGCGGCUCAACCGCAAGAGGUCAUUGGAAACUGGGGGACUUGAGUGCAGGAGAGGGAAGCGGAAUUCCAUGUGUAGCGGUGAAAUGCGUAGAGAUAUGGAGGAACACCAGUGGCGAAGGCGGCUUCCUGGCCUGUAACUGACGCUCAGGCGCGAAAGCGUGGGGAGCAAAC